Molecule: long non-coding RNA, 172 nt
Organism: Ctenopharyngodon idella (grass carp)
Lineage: Eukaryota; Metazoa; Chordata; Actinopteri; Cypriniformes; Xenocyprididae
Exons: 3
Source: RefSeq, a predicted model, not a curated record
GUUGUCGGUGUGGGGGUAGAUGGUGUGGGAGGUACUGGUGUUGUAGUAGAUGGUGUGGGAGGUACUGGUGUUGUAGUAGACGUUGUGGUAGAUGAUGGUGUGGGAGGUACUGGUGUUGUAGUAGAUGGUGUGGGAGGUACUGGUGUUGUAGUAGACGUUGUGGUUGUCGGUG